CGGCGCGAUCCCGCGGAGGGCUGUCGCUGGCAGACGCGCACAGCGCUCGGUCCCGCCGGCAUCAUGCGGCCCCUGCUGUGCGCGCUGGCCGGGCUCGCCCUGCUCCGCGCCGCGGGCGCUCUGGCCGAGUUACAACAGAGGCAGAGACAGAGGAAGAAGUCUUCCAUCCACUGGCUCACUCUCCAAAUGGCAGCAAUCACCGGUGCUGGGCCAGGCUGAAGCCAAGAGCCAGGAGCUUCUUCCAGGUCUCCCACAAGGAUGCAGGGGCCAUCCUCUGCUGUUUUCUCAGGCGUAUUAGGAGGGAGCGGGAUCAGAAGUGGAGCAGCUGGGACUCGAACCCAGGGUCCACUCUGGCGCACGGCUCAGGUGGGGUGGCCUUGAGGAUGGGUGGCAGUGGCCAAGUCUUCUCAGGAACCACUUUCCACUGGAGGACCAGGAGCUGAGCCCUGAGGUGGCCCCACAGGCGUCCAUGCCCGAUGCUUCGAUGGGGCUCAGUGUGACUUUGGGACAUUGUAGGAAGGGCAUGCAAAGAGGAAGAUGUGCCCCCCACCCCCACCCAGACUCUCCUGUGGGUCUGGAUCACACAGUCUGUGUUGAGGAAACCAUCAGCAUGUCUGUGGCUGCUGUGAAUCUACUGUGGUGGCGAUUGGACAACCAGGCUCACCAAGCUAAGGGGGACCUCGGUGGAGACGGAGCACUUAAAAAUACCUUCGAAAUGUCCUCUAGGAGUUGAUUUUGACCACAUCUCACCUGAGUCAAUGAAUAAUGCAUUUCUAAGGUACACUAUGUCACCUGAAAAUUCUGCAGUACAACCACCGGCCAGCAGAGGUCGCAGAGGAACAUGCAAAGACCUUAAAGGGGAGGCACAGAGCUGACCAGAAACUGCCCCAAUCCCCCAGCAGGUCAACACCGCAGCUGCCCUGACACCUGUCACCCUGCUGUUCCUGAUUCUGGCUCCCUGCUGGAAGUAUUGCACCGUGCUGCACUGCACAGUGGGCCCCUUGGAGCCUCCACACACCAGACAGAGUGAAGGUCUGUAGUAGCCAGACACAAAGUCCCAGUUCCCACCAGAAACAAUGCUUGGGCUUUUCUCUGCACAGUUUCAGAUGCAAGGUGCUAGAGCCAGAGACUGGGUGCCCGCUGCCACAUGCGGUCACUGGGUGGUGCCUGACAACCAAGUGACCAGGACUGGACAUGACACACUUGCAUACUUCCGGUCCCCAGUCCUGCUUUGAAAGAGGUCGCAGGAAAUGACUGGCUGGCUUUCCAGGGUUCUGGGCGUAGGGAGCAACUGUGUAUUGAGAAGGCCCCAAACUACAGGACAAAUAUGGCCACAUGCCCACCCCUCUAGCUUGGAGUGGACACUUCUCAUCAAGUCCUAGAGCAGCUCCCCUGCCCCUCCAUAUAUCAGACAAUAGGGGUCCAUUUCCCUGGGGAGUCAACAAAUGAUUGGUCUCCCACGACAAUUCAAAGGACAGCUUUAUUGUGCCAAAGAGACUGGGAAAGUACAGCUCCCUAAAACUACUGCCUCUGUGAGAAGCCAUUUUUGAGGGAUUGUAGAGUGAGGGCGUGGCUGGGAUAGAGGAAAAAGAGAAGCAAGAGGGCCCUACCUGCUCAAGCAACCCACAGCAGCACGCAUUGUGUGUUCAAAACCCAACUGCUGCUGGGCUCUUGCAGCUCUCCUUGCUGUGAGGUCCAAUCCCUGGGGGUACAGCAUGAAAGAUCACCCUUCUUGGAAUAUUCUUGGGAAAACAAGAAAGAGAAUAAAUUGUUAGAUGCUGUGCCCCUGCCCAUGCCCAUGCCUGUUGUCUAAAUCCUACAGUCUGAGUUACAGAAUUUUUUUAAAGCUGUAUUUAUUUGAAAGGCAGAAUGACAGAGAGACAGACAGGCAGACAGAGUCUUCCAUCCACUGGUUCACUCCCCCAAAAGGCCGCAACAGCUGGAGCUAUACCAGGAGGAGGAGCUUCUUUCGGGUCUCACACAUAGGUGUAGGGGCCCAAGGACUUGGACCAUCUUCCACGACUCUCCCAGGUGCAUUAGCUGGGAGCUAGAUCAGAAGUGGAACAGCCGAGACUUGAACUGGCAACCAUAUGGGGUAGUAGCUUUACCCGCUACACCACAGCACCAGCCUCUGGAGACAUGUCGCUUUUUUUUCAUAUUUAUUUAUUUAUUUGAAAGUCAGAGUUUCACAGAGAGGAAAGUCAGAGAGAGAGAGAGAGGACUUCCAUCUGGUGGUUCACUCCCCAGUUGGCUGCAACGGCUGGAACUGUGCAGAUCUAAAGCUGGGAGCAAGGAGUUUCUUCUGUGUCUCCCAUAUAGGUGCAGGGGCCCAAAGACAAGGGCCAUCUUCUGAUUUCCCAGGCCGUAGCAGAGAGCUGGAUUGGAAGUGGAGCAGCCGGGUUUUAAACCGGUGCCCAUAUGGGAUGCCGGCACUCAGGCCAGAGUGUUAACCCGUUUCACCACAGCGCCGGCCCGGGGAGAGCUGUUUUUUCACAUUUCCCUCCCUCCCUGGAGGCAGCAACAUACACUGCUCAAAACGAGGGACCGCACCCAUGGUGAAAUUUAAAGGAGUCCAUGCAACCUGGGUCUUUCUCCAAACUUUUCUUCCAAGGGACAAAUAGCUGGCAAUUAAACACCAAGAUUAGAAGAUGUGAGUCUAAAACUUGAAAAUGACACAUUUUACAUACACAAAUACUCUACGAAUGAAAGCCCUGAUGGUACUUCAUAUGAUUUAUAGCAGUAAAUUAAAAUCCCUAGAUGAAAUGAACUUAGUAUUAGAAAUCAUAAUCUCAAAAGUUACUCAAGGAGAAAUGAUAGUUUCUAAUCAACGAUAAUGAGAUCAGGAGGCAAAAUCUCCCUCUAAUGAAUCUAUCAGAGCCGUCAUUGUAAAAUCCAAACGUUUAAUGAAGGGCUAAGUGUAGUGUUGUACAAAAUUAUAGAAAAUAGUAAGAAAGGUAGCAUAACUAACUCCUAUAAUCCUAGUUUAACAUGACACAACCCCCUACAAUAACUACCAGUACAAAAUGUCCUUCAAGAAUAUAAAUGCCAACAUGAUAGAAAAUAUGUUCACAACCCUAACCAGCCACGCACACAAAGGAUGUACACUAUGAGCUAGUUCCUUUCUUUCAAGAACCUUCGACUCCCAGGUACACAAUUGUAGUAUGACAGGCAUCUGCUGACUCAAAAGCCCAACGCCAUUUCCUGCAGCCACAUUUCUAGUCCCAGAAGUUGGCACCGGUGUGUUCCUCUUUCAAAAUGUCCUGGAUUUCAGAACUGGGCAUCUCGGGCACCACCUUGCUGUGUAUCUUGCUCGUGAGGUUCUGUUGGAGAACUGAGUACCCGCAGAGCUGUGCUCAACACCUGCAAGAACGUGAGCUCUCCAUCACCUUGACGAUCUCCAGGCUGCUGCUGGGACAGAGGAAAAGGCACCCUGUUCUCUGCGCUGUUGUGAUUCUGCUGCAUUGGAAACUGGUCCUGGGAGGGCAGCUCCUGCCAGUAAUCCAGAGGCUGCUGGGGCUGCUGAGGGUGCGUUCCCCAGCCAUUCUGCUGCCAUUCUUCACAUAGUGGGUAACGAAGAGAGCUCUUCUGCUCCUGCAGCUGUUGCAUUGCUCCCUGAGCACUGGGAACACUGGGUAGCAGGGAAGGCCAGUCAGGCUGCAUGACCCUCAUCUCUGACCUGGACCUCCCAAAAUACGGUGCGGAUGAAAAAGGAUGAAUAAACCUUGCUCCUGGAACGCCACGGGGAAAAGAUCCACCUCCUACAUUCCCUUGAUUCUCCAGAGCAUAGCUCGGUGCCUCUUGAGCACCUCGAACCCCAGAAUCCCAGGAGCCGUAGAGCGGGCUGGGAACCUCCCAAGUGGGUGGAGUGGAGUAGACAGCUCCGCCCAGCACAGAUGCCUGGGCAGCGUUGGGAGACCAAUCCUGGGCAUUCUGCAGGCUUACACCUGGGGGACCUUGGACAGGGAGUGCAUAUGGCAUCCUGGCUUCAAGCACUUUGCGUCUCUUCUUGGCUGGUAGCCUGGCUCUUUUAUUUUGGAACCAGUUCUAAAAAAGAAACGAAACAGAAAUUACUUUCGAGUCUAUAUAUUCGCCAAUGUAGGAGAAUUUUGUAGUUCAUCUUAGGAUCAGCGUCAUCACUGAUUUGCUUCGUGACCUUGAGGAAGACAUGAAAAAUGCAAGCAUGCUUUCCUGGGGCUUCCUGUGUUAUUAUAUUUAUAAUACGAGAAUGCAUUUACAGUAAAUAUGAUAUGUAAAUGUAUAUAUAAAUAUACAUUUAUGAUAAUUAAAAUCAUGUAAUUUUGCACAAUUCUGGAUUCCCAUCUGCCUUCACAGGAGGCACGGGCCCUUAUGUAUGAGCAAAUCCCUAUUUUUCCAAAUCUUCUACCAACCUAUUUGCACCCUCUGUAUUUAGACGUGAAGCAGCUGUUCUCAAAAUACAUUCCCUUAGCUUGCUUAUUUUACUCCAACUGCUUUUCCAGAAUGAAUUCCUAAUUCAACAUAUUCUAAAUCAUAUUCUAAAUGUCAUUUUCUUCAAAGGCCAUACCCAAAACAAACAAGAGUCUGCCAUAACUUAGAAGUAUUACUUCAUACCUUACUCUAAGUGUUUUGUGGAACCUCUACUCUUUACUUUUUAUCCUUUGUAAAAUGAGAGUAAUUGGGGUCAGCGCUGUGGUGUAGUAGGUAAAGCUGCCACCUGCAGAACUGGCAUUCCAUAUGGGCACCAGUUCAAGUCCUGGCUGCUCCAUUCCAAUCCAGCUCUCUGCUAUGGCCUGGGAAAGCAGUGGAAGAUGGCCCAAGUGCUUGGGCCCCUGUACCCACAUGAGAGACCCAGAAGAAGCUCCUGGAUCCUGGCUUUGGAUCAACAUAGCUCCGGCUGUUGAGGCCAGGGGGGGAGUGAACCAGCAGAUGGGAGACCUUGCUCUCUCUCUCUGCCUCUCCUUCUCUCUCUCUGCCUCUCCUUCUCUCUCUCUGUGUAAAUCUGACUUUCAAAUAAAUAAAUCUUUUUCAAAAAUAACACAUACUAUACUUUAAUAUAGUCACAUCCACAAUGACAUGAAGAAGCAAUGGGACCAAAUUUCAACGCUGUUUUAUGUGAUGAAAUGCUGUUAUACUUUUUCAUAAUUAGUUGAUUUUUUAUUAUUGUCCACAAAGACAUAUUCAUGUAAAUAUCUACGUAGUUUAUGUACCUCGAUUGUGUAAAACGAACAAUGGAGUUUUUUGACCAGUUCCUCCUUGGUCGUAUAGUCGGGAUAAGGACUCUCUGCAAAUGAUUGAUUCAGUAUGUGCAGUUCCUCAGGUGUAAAUUUAUGGCGUGCUUUUCCUUUUCUUCUUCCAUGUUGUGUUUCUAUGUUGUCAUGACUGUCUCCUGAAAAAUACAGAGAGAAAACACAAGAGUAUUAGGAAGAUCCAGAAAAACAAAAGACCUCUGUGAGAGAAUAAAAUUUUAGAAAGGUGAUACCUUCCCUCUUACCUAGUCAUAAUAAAAUGAAUAAUGGACUGUGGGCAUAUCUUUUGAAACUUAUGGUGAGAAGAUGAUAGUAUUUAGGUCAUAAAGGUAACAGGAGUGAAGAAGGUUUUCUUUAGUGAAAAUUGAUAUACUACAAAGACAGAGAUGGUGGGAAAACACUCAGCCCCACUAGUAAUUGAGGCAAUGUAAAUAAACCAGCUGACAACAAUCUGGUAAACAAUAAUUUAAAUAUAUGGGGGCAAAGUGCGAAAGGACUAACACGGAUUGACAAGGAUAGGUCUGGUACCCCUAUUGCUUGUUAUCACUGCGUGGGCUUUUUUGCUCAAUGCAAUGAAGUCGAAAGUGGCCAUACUCUCCACUGUGUCAAUCAACUAAAUGGCACUUAAAGAUUUAACACCAAGUCUACAGGUCAUUUUUCCUUCACCCGUGUCAGACAUGCCAGCAGGAGGAAAGCACCGAGGAUCUAAACCUGUCCUCUGGUGUGUGCUCAUCUCCCGGAUGCUGGAAGGGGAGCAGACCUUACAGACAAACCAACGUUGGCACAGUUCUCUACUGCAGAGGCCACCAGAAGAACUGACACGAGGCAAUCCUGUUUUUCUUAAAUCAGAAUUUAAGUGAAAAAACUUACAAGGACUGCAAACCGAAUUAACAACCUUCAUAUGUCUGCUUCAAAGGGUAUAACCUAGCUGCCGGGGGUUGGGCUGCAGUAUGUUAAGUUCCCCCUGAGGACAUCAGCAUCCCAUAUGAGCAAUGAUUUGAGUCCAUCUGCUCUACCAGUCCAGCCCCCCGCUGAAGCCCCUGGGAAAGCAGUGGAAAACUGGCCAAGUGCUUGGGCCCCCACCACCCAUGUGGGAGACCCAGAUGGAGUUCCAUGCUCCUGGCUUCUGCCUGGCCCAGCCCUGGCCAUUGCAGCCAUUUGGGGAGUGAACCAGAGGAUGGCAGAUCUCUGUGUGUCUCUCUCUCUGUCACUCUGUCUUUUAAAUAAAUCUUUUUAAAAAGGUCAAUCUGAACAUACUAUAGACUACCUAAGGCAAAACCGGAGACACUUCAUCACAGAAACUGUGACAUUCAAAAUAUAGUGUGGACAUCGCAAAUGAUCACGUGUGGAGAGAGACAGAGAGGGAGAGAGGGAAAGAGGGGGCAGGGGAGAGAAGAAGGAGAGAUAAGGAGAUGGGGAGAGAGGGAGAGAGAAAGAGGGAGAGGGGAGAGGGAGAGAGGGAGAGAGAAUGGGGGAGAGUGAGAACAGAGCUGAGGAAAGGGUCAGGAAGUCAGCCACCAAACCUCCAAAUACACAAACCCCGAAAGCCCGUUGCUGUUCUCCUCGACUCCCCUUCCUUCAGCUUUCUCUAGCCUCUGCUCCCAGAGCACACCUGCACACCAAGUAGCUACUAGAGCAGGACUGUGGGGGACAGCGCGACAGAGAGGUGCCAGUAAGAAGUGCUGGAUUGGGCUGGCACUGUGGAGUAGCAGGUAAAGCUGCUGCCUGCAGUGCUGGCAUCCCAUAUGGACACUGGUUCUGAUCCAGCUCUCUGCCACAGCCUGGGAAAGCAGAUGAUGGCCCAAGUCCUUGGGCCCCUGCACCCACAUGGGAGAUCUGGAAGGAGCUCCUGGCUUCAGGUUGGCACAGCUCUGGUCAUUGCAGACAACUGGGGAGUGAACCAGCAGAUGGAAGGACCCUCUCCCUAUUCUCUUUCUCUCCCUCUCUGUUUGUCUGCCUCUCUGUAAUUCUGCCUUUCAAAUAAAUAAAAUAAACCUUCAAAUAAAAUUUUAAGAAGUAUCUUAAGCAUUUGGCAGUGAAAUGGAGCUAUGUGGGUUUUUUUAAAAAACAUUUAUUUAUUUGAAAGUCAGAGUUACACAGAGAGAGGAGAAGCAGAGAGAGAGAGAGGUCUUCCAUCUGAUGGUCACUCCCCAAUUGGCUGCAAUGCCUGAGCUGUGCUGAUCCCAAGCCAGGAGCCUGGAGCUUCUUCCAGGUCUCCCACGUGGGUGCAGGGGCCCAAGGACUUGGGCCAUCUUCCACUGCUUUCCCAGUCCAUAGCAGAGAGCUGGAUUGGACGUGGAGCAGCCAGUUCUCAAAAUGGCACCCAUAUGGGAUACCGAUGCUUCAGGAUAGAGCAUUAACCCUCUGUGCCACAGCGCCAGCCCCCACAAAAAUUUUUUAAAAGUAUUAUAGGGCCGGGGCCCAAGGCUCACUUGGCUAAUCCUCCACCUGCAGAGCCGGCACCCCAGGUUCUAGUCCCGGUUGGGGCACCGGAUUCUGUCCCCAUUGCCCAUCUUCCAGUCCAGCUCUCUGCUGUGGCCCAGGAAGGCAGUGAGGAUGUCCCAAGUGCUUGGGCCCUGCACCCACAUGGGAGACCAGGAGGAAGCACCUGGCUCCUGGCUUCGGAUUGGCACAGCGCGAUGGCCGCAGCGCCCAUUUUGGGGGUGAACCAAAGGAAAAGGAAGAACUUUCUCUCUGUUUCUCUCUCACUAACUCAGCCUGUACAGGAAAAAAAAAAAUUAUACAUUCAGGGCUGGUGUUGUUUCAUGGCAAGUUAAGCCUCUGCCUCCAGUGCCAGCAUGCCAUAUGGGUGCCAGCUCAAGUCCCAGUUGCUCCACUUCCCAUCCAGCUCCCCGCUUAGCCCUGGGAAAGCAGAAGAGGAUGACCCAAGUGCUUGGGCCCC
This is a non-coding RNA of Oryctolagus cuniculus (rabbit), 8127 nucleotides long. The record is from RefSeq and is a predicted model, not a curated record. Lineage: Eukaryota; Metazoa; Chordata; Mammalia; Lagomorpha; Leporidae.